GCCGCUGUAGCUCAGCUGGUAGAGCACGUCAUUCGUAAUGAUGGGGUCGUAGGUUCAAGUCCUAUCAGCGGCA
Molecule: transfer RNA, 73 nt
Filed under: Yoonia maricola
Lineage: Bacteria; Pseudomonadati; Pseudomonadota; Alphaproteobacteria; Rhodobacterales; Paracoccaceae
Description: tRNA-Thr
Rfam family: tRNA
About the family: Transfer RNA (tRNA) molecules are approximately 80 nucleotides in length.
Source: RNAcentral